ACGUAGGCAUCAAGCGUUGUCCGGAUUUAUUGGGCGUAAAGAGCUCGUAGGCGGUUCAGCAAGUCGGGUGUGAAAACUAUGGGCUUAACCCAUAGCCUGCAUCCGAAACUGCUGUGACUAGAGUUCGGUAGGGGAGAGGGGAAUUCCUAGUGUAGCGGUGAAAUGCGCAGAUAUUAGGAGGAACACCGAUGGCGAAGGCACCUCUCUGGGCCGAUACUGACGCUGAGGAGCGAAAGCGUGGGUAGCAAACAGGAUUAGAUACCCUGGUAGUCCACGCCGUAAACGUUGGGCACUAGGUGUGGGUCUCUAACCAACGAGAUCCGCGCCGUCGCUAACGCAUUAAGUGCCCCGCCUGGGGAGUACGGUCGCAAGACUA
This 376-nucleotide ribosomal RNA is filed under the name uncultured bacterium. RNAcentral describes it as "bacterial SSU rRNA". It matches the Rfam family "Bacterial small subunit ribosomal RNA", at positions 525 to 896 of the family's 1533-position model. The record is from RNAcentral.